GACGAACCGAGCAAACGUUAUUCGGAAUCACUGGGCUUAAAGGGCGCGUAGGCGGGUCAGCAAGUCAGGGGUGAAAGCCCCCAGCUCAACUGGGGAAGUGCCUUUGAUACUGUUGAUCUCGAGGGAGGUAGGGGCGUGCGGAACUUCCGGUGGAGCGGUGAAAUGCGUAGAGAUCGGAAGGAACACCGGUGGCGAAAGCGGCGCGCUGGACCUCUUCUGACGAUGAGGCGCGAAAGACAGGGGAGCAAACGGG
RNAcentral lists this ribosomal RNA (253 nucleotides) under uncultured bacterium. RNAcentral describes it as "partial 16S ribosomal RNA". It matches the Rfam family "Bacterial small subunit ribosomal RNA", at positions 524 to 776 of the family's 1533-position model. The record is from RNAcentral.